RNAcentral lists this ribosomal RNA (351 nucleotides) under uncultured bacterium. Its description in RNAcentral is "bacterial SSU rRNA". It matches the Rfam family "Bacterial small subunit ribosomal RNA", at positions 30 to 363 of the family's 1533-position model. The record is from RNAcentral.
AGUGAACGCUGGCGGCAGGCCUAACACAUGCAAGUCGAGCGGCAGCGGGUCCCCGCGAGGGGAUGCCGGCGAGCGGCGGACGGGUGAGGAACACAUCGGAAUCUGCCUGGUUGUGGGGGAUAACGUAGGGAAACUUACGCUAAUACCGCAUGCGACCCUGAGUCGACGGACUUGGGGUGAAAGUGAGGGACCUUCGGGCCUCACGCGACCAGAUGAGCCGAUGUCGGAUUAGCUAGUUGGCGGGGUAACGGCCCGCCAAGGCGACGAUCCGUAGCUGGUCUGAGAGGAUGAUCAGCCACACUGGGACUGAGACACGGCCCAGACUCCUACGGGAGGCAGCAGUGGGGAAUC